Oryctolagus cuniculus (rabbit) is the source of this 958-nucleotide non-coding RNA. Lineage: Eukaryota; Metazoa; Chordata; Mammalia; Lagomorpha; Leporidae. The record is from RefSeq and is a predicted model, not a curated record.
UACCAGCAGAGUAUGAGGGUUUUAUUUUAUCCUAGUCAACAACAAAGAAUGCUAAUCCUUAAUUAGAACCAUGAUAAAGAACAAGUAAUCUAUUUUCUUGUUUUCCAUCAGAUGUUAUGAACAUUGAUUGCUCUUAAGGAGCCUUUCAUUUUGUUUUUUAGCACGCUCAAUUAUUUCAAGAUCCCUUCCUGUCUAAAAGGAUCACUCACAUUUCAGAGAAGGAAUUUUGUUUGUGGAAUGAAUCCAUGAAAGAGAGCAGGGAGAGAGCCUGAUUCAGCAGCCUUGUACAGGUACAGCAGGAACUGUGGAAGGCAGGCAUUUUGUGACUGCAGCAGAAAGUGGCCUGCGGCAUCUACCAAGCUUCAGAACGACUCGAAGAGGAAAUUGGAGAUGCAGAUUCCUGGGUGCUGCCCCCAAGUGAUUCUGAUGCAGUUGUGUUUGGGACCCCACACCAGCCCUCCUGAACGCUUCCACAGGGAGAUGGAAAUAUUGGUUUACUUCUCUCUUAAGUGAAGAUGAAAAAUGAGACAAACCAAGCAAAACAAACAUCUGAAAUCCAGUCUCUACAAUUAUUUGCAAACAGAACAAGUCUUUGCAUGGAUUUGAGAACUUGGCCAUGGAAUCAAAGCCAGGGGUAAAAACUUGUACAAUAGUCCCUCCUCAUCUGUGGGAGAUACAUUCCAAGACCUCCAGUGGAUGCCUAAAACCUCAGAGAGAACUACAUCUGGCACUAACAGCAACAACAGAAGCGAGCCAAGUAUUCUGGAAAAAAGGUUUGACACAGAAACACUUGGGAGAACUUGAUGUCAUCAAGAAUAAAUCCAACCCAACAGAAUAUAAAGUCAACACAUGGACAGAAGGUAAGUGUUUGUGAUGUUGACAAAGUAUAUGCAGAAUUGCACAUAGCUUACUCCUGGGGACACACACACGGGGGGGAGAGAAUGAGAGAGAGAAUGAG